Molecule: RNA transcript, 2543 nt
Organism: Elaeis guineensis (African oil palm)
Lineage: Eukaryota; Viridiplantae; Streptophyta; Magnoliopsida; Arecales; Arecaceae
Gene name: T-complex protein 1 subunit delta
Source: RefSeq, a predicted model, not a curated record
CCGCUCGCUGGGCCAUUCCAGAGACCGCAACACCAGCACCUCACCUGCUCUCUCUCUCUCUCUCUCUCACCCCGCUCUCUCUCGAAACCCCAACAUUCCCUCCUCCCUCGCCGUCCAGUUUUAUCAGGGUUCUAGAACAAUCCUUUCUUCAAGGGUUUCGUCGACGUCGCUCUCCUCCUCCUGCUGGUGCUCCCAUGGCGGCCGCCGUCACCGCGUCCGCCCCCCCAGCCCGCUCCUCGUCCUCGAAGACGGAGAGCUACGUCGACAACAAGCGGCGCGACGACGUCCGUCGGGCCAACAUUGUCGCCGCCCGCGCGGUGGCGGAUGCCGUGCGGACCAGCCUCGGCCCCAAGGGCAUGGAUAAGAUGAUCGCCUCUGCCUCAGGCGAGGUCAUCAUUACCAACGACGGCGCCACCAUCCUCAACAAGAUGGAGGUCCUCCAGCCUGCAGCCAAGAUGCUCGUGGAUCUCUCCCGCUCCCAGGACGCCGCCGCCGGCGACGGCACCACCACCGUGGUCGUCUUCGCUGGCUCCCUCCUCCACCGCUCCCUCUCCCUCCUCUCCGCCGGCAUACACCCCACUGUCGUCUCCGAUGCCCUCCACCGCCUCUCCGUGCGCGCCGUCGACGUCCUCCAUGGCAUGGCCAUCCCUCUCGACCUCUCCGACCGCGACUCCCUCGUCAAGUCCGCCGCUACCUCCCUUAACAGCAAGGUCGUCAGCCAGUACUCCUCCCUUCUCGCUCCCCUCGCCGUCGACGCUGUCCUUUCCGUCGUCGACCCCGCCCACCCCGAUCUCGUCGACCUUCGCGAUGUGAAGAUCGUCAAGAAGCUCGGCGGCACCGUAGAUGACACCGAGCUUGUCAGAGGCCUUGUCUUCGAUAAGAAGGUCAGCCAUGCCGCCGGAGGCCCUACCCGUGUGGAGAAUGCUAAGAUCGCCGUCAUCCAGUUCCAGAUCUCCCCACCCAAGACCGACAUCGAGCAGAGCAUUGUCGUCUCCGACUACACUCAGAUGGAUCGCAUCCUCAGGGAGGAGCGCAACUAUAUUCUUGGCGUGGUGAAAAAGAUCAAGGCUACCGGCUGCAAUGUGCUUCUCAUCCAGAAGAGCAUUCUAAGGGAUGCUGUUACCGACCUUUCGUUGCACUACUUGGCCAAGGCCAAGAUUUUGGUGGUCAAGGAUGUGGAGAGGGAUGAGAUCGAGUUCAUCACGAAGACGCUGAACUGCCUGCCUAUCGCCAAUAUCGAGCAUUUCCGGGAGGAGAAGCUGGGAUUUGCUGACUUGGUGGAGGAGGUCUCGGUUGGCGAUGGGAAGAUUGUGAAGAUCACGGGGAUCAAGAACAUGGGGAGGACCACGACUGUGCUUGUCCGGGGAUCGAAUCAGCUCGUCAUUGACGAGGCGGAGCGGAGCCUUCACGAUGCCCUCUGUGUUGUCAGUCUUCUAGACCUCUCGAUGUUGGUCCCUUUGCCUCCAACUCCAUCUAGAAGAGCACUAGCCCCUGACCGCCGCCGCCGCCUCCUCCUCCUCCUGCACCAUUGACAGAGAUCGGGGCGGAGUACGUAGUGGCGGCGGCAGCAAUCAAUGUGAACAUGUGGCGGCUGGCGGAGGAGCAAGUGUGGAAGAUUGGGAGGCUCGGGGAGGGUGGGUGCGGGACACAAUCUCUUGCUUGGCUUCAUCUACAUCCAAUUUCCAGCUGUUCUAACAAAUUCCAAGAGGUAAUACCAGUGGAGAUCCAUACAUCCCCUCCUCUUCCGUUCCCAGGGGUCGGCGCAGUAGCGAUCGUCGGAGAGGGACUUGAGGUGGAGGAGUGCCCAGCAAUUGCUGAUGGAGCUGGGGGUGGCAUGAGCGGCAAUGCUGGUGAGCUUAGAGUGAAGAUGCUUGGUGAAUAAGAGAUUUCUGAUUGCUGGUGGAGGUGCACCGGAAAUUGAGAUGUCAAGGCAACUAGGAGCAUGGGCAAAGGAACUGCAAGGGAUGGAGAGCUACUGUGUAAAGGAGUUUGCAGAGGCACUGGAGGUCAUUCCCUACACUUUGGCUGAGAAUGCAGGGCUAAAGCCAAUAGCCAUCGUAACAGAGCUAAGGAAUCGGCAUGCCCAGGGUGAGAUCAGUGCUGGGAUUAAUGUGAGGAAGGGCCAGAUAACAAACAUAUUGGAGGAGAACGUUCUGCAGCCACUACUGGUUAGUACUAGUGCAAUUACACUAGCAACUGAAUGUGUAAGGAUGAUCUUGAAGAUUGAUGACAUAAUCACUGUGAGGUAGAAUGGAGAUAUGCCAACUGUUGUGGUUGUUUGGAACCUUAGAUGGUUUUGUUUAGCUUAAAAACCCUUCUAAUGUAUGGAAUGAAAUGUUGGGAGAGUGGUAGUUGUGGUUGUUUUACUAUGCCUGCAUAUUCUGGCUUCAUGGUUUUCAUGUGUCCUUUAAUCCCUGUACUUCUGUACAAACUGUUUUGCCUUACUCUGCUGCCAUGAAGUACUGGGAUGCAACUGAAGCUAUUGCUGUUUUCGCUUUUGUUACAUGCUUGGUGUUUCAACUUUCAAAGUAUUAUUUUCUGAU